GGCCCAAAUUCCUAGCGGAGGCUGCAGUAGGGAAUCUUCCACAAUGGGCGAAAGCCUGAUGGAGCAACGCCGCGUGUUGAUGAAGGCUUUCGGGUCGUAAAGCACUGUUGUAUGGGAAGAAAAGUUAAGGUAGGGAAUGACCUUAGCCUGACGGUACCAUACCAGAAAGGGACGGCUAAAUACGUGCCAGCAGCCGCGGUAAUACGUAUGUCCCGAGCGUUAUCCGGAUUUAUUGGGCGUAAAGCGAGCGCAGACGGUUGGUUAAGUCUGAUGUGAAAGCCCGGAGCUCAACUCCGGAAAGGCAUUGGAAACUGGUUAACUUGAGUGCAGUAGAGGUAAGUGGAACUCCAUGUGUAGCGGUGGAAUGCGUAGAUAUAUGGAAGAACACCAGCGGCGAAGGCGGCUUACUGGACUGUAACUGACGUUGAGGCUCGAAAGUGUGGGUAGCAAACAGGAUUAGAUACCCUGGUAGUCCACACCGUAAACGAUGAACACUAGGUGUUAGGAGGUUUCCGCCUCUUAGUGCCGAAGCUAACGCAUUAAGUGUUCCGCCUGGGGAGUACGACCGCAAGGUUGAAACUCAAAGGAAUUGACGGGGACCCGCACAAGCGGUGGAGCAUGUGGUUUAAUUCGAAGCAACGCGAAGAACCUUACCAGGUCUUGACAUCCUUUGAAGCUUUUAGAAAUAGAAGUGUUCUCUUCGGAGACAAAGUGACAGGUGGUGCAUGGUCGUCGUCAGCUCGUGUCGUGAGAUGUUGGGUUAAGUCCCGCAACGAGCGCAACCCUUAUUGUUAGUUGCCAGCAUUCAGAUGGGCACUCUAGCGAGACUGCCGGUGACAAACCGGAGGAAGGCGGGGACGACGUCAGAUCAUCAUGCCCCUUAUGACCUGGGCUACACACGUGCUACAAUGGCGUAUACAACGAGUUGCCAACCUGCGAAGGUGAGCUAAUCUCUUAAAGUACGUCUCAGUUCGGACUGCAGUCUGCAACUCGACUGCACGAAGUCGGAAUCGCUAGUAAUCGCGGAUCAGCACGCCGCGGUGAAUACGUUCCCGGGUCUUGUACACACCGCCCGUCACACCAUGGAAGUUUGUAAUGCCCAAAGCCGGUGGCCUAACCGUAAGGAGGGAACCGUCUAAGGC
This 1142-nucleotide ribosomal RNA is filed under the name Leuconostoc carnosum. Its description in RNAcentral is "bacterial SSU rRNA". It matches the Rfam family "Bacterial small subunit ribosomal RNA", at positions 328 to 1463 of the family's 1533-position model. Lineage: Bacteria; Bacillati; Bacillota; Bacilli; Lactobacillales; Lactobacillaceae. The record is from RNAcentral.